This 902-nucleotide ribosomal RNA is filed under the name Cortinarius aff. anisodorus PDD 104633. Its description in RNAcentral is "eukaryotic LSU rRNA". It matches the Rfam family "Eukaryotic large subunit ribosomal RNA", at positions 49 to 937 of the family's 3401-position model. The record is from RNAcentral. Lineage: Eukaryota; Fungi; Basidiomycota; Agaricomycetes; Agaricales; Cortinariaceae.
AGCGGAGGAAAAGAAACUAACAAGGAUUCCCCUAGUAACUGCGAGUGAAGCGGGAAAAGCUCAAAUUUAAAAUCUGGCGGUCUUUGGCUGUCCGAGUUGUAAUCUAGAGAAGUGUUAUCCGUGCUGGACCGUGUACAAGUCUUCUGGAAUGGAGCGUCAUAGAGGGUGAGAAUCCCGUCUUUGACACGGACUACCAGUGCUUUGUGAUGCGCUCUCAAAGAGUCGAGUUGUUUGGGAAUGCAGCUCAAAAUGGGUGGUAAAUUCCAUCUAAAGCUAAAUAUUGGCGAGAGACCGAUAGCGAACAAGUACCGUGAGGGAAAGAUGAAAAGAACUUUGGAAAGAGAGUUAAACAGUACGUGAAAUUGCUGAAAGGGAAACGCUUGAAGUCAGUCGCGUUGGCCUGGAAUCAACCUUGCUUUUGCUGGGCGUACUUCCUGGUCGACGGGUCAGCAUCAAUUUCGACCGUUGGAAAAAGUUCAGGGAAAUGUGGCAUCUUCGGAUGUGUUAUAGUCUCUGUUCGCAUACGACGAUUGGGAUUGAGGAACUCAGCACGCCGCAAGGCCGGGUCUUUGACCACGUACGUGCUUAGGAUGCUGGCAUAAUGGCUUUAAUCGACCCGUCUUGAAACACGGACCAAGGAGUCUAACAUGCCUGCGAGUGUUUGGGUGGAAAACCCGAGCGCGCAAUGAAAGUGAAAGUUGAGAUCCCUGUCGUGGGGAGCAUCGACGCCCGGACCUGACCUUUUGUGACGGCUCCGCGGUAGAGCAUGUAUGUUGGGACCCGAAAGAUGGUGAACUAUGCCUGAAUAGGGUGAAGCCAGAGGAAACUCUGGUGGAGGCUCGUAGCGAUUCUGACGUGCAAAUCGAUCGUCAAAUUUGGGUAUAGGGGCGAAAGACUAAUCG